RNAcentral lists this ribosomal RNA (300 nucleotides) under uncultured Nitriliruptoraceae bacterium. RNAcentral describes it as "bacterial SSU rRNA". It matches the Rfam family "Bacterial small subunit ribosomal RNA", at positions 114 to 414 of the family's 1533-position model. The record is from RNAcentral. Lineage: Bacteria; Bacillati; Actinomycetota; Nitriliruptoria; Nitriliruptorales; Nitriliruptoraceae.
CACGUGAGAAACCAACCCUUCACUUCGGGAUAACCCAAGGAAACUUGGGCUAAUACCGGAUACCCAGAACGGAUCGCAUGAUCCACCCUGGAAAGCUCCGGCGGUGAUGGACGGUCUCGCGGCCUAUCAGCUAGUUGGUGAGGUAACGGCUCACCAAGGCAACGACGGGUAGCUGGAGUGAGAGCUCGAACAGCCACACUGGGACUGAGACACGGCCCAGACUCCUACGGGAGGCAGCAGUGGAGAAUCUUGCACAAUGGGCGAAAGCCUGAUGCAGCCACGCCGCGUGAGGGACGAAGG